Molecule: ribosomal RNA, 465 nt
Filed under: uncultured bacterium
Lineage: Bacteria
Description: partial 16S ribosomal RNA
Rfam family: Bacterial small subunit ribosomal RNA
Source: RNAcentral
GACGAACGCUGGCGGCGUGCUUAACACAUGCAAGUCGAGCGAGGCCCCUCCUUCGGGAGGGUGUCCUAGCGGCGAACGGGUGAGUAACACGUGGGCAACCUGCCCUCAGCUCUGGGAUAACUCCGGGAAACCGGGGCUAAUACCGGAUACGACCUCCACGGGCAUCUGCGGAGGUGGAAAGUUUUUCGGCUGAGGAUGGGCCCGCGGCCUAUCAGCUAGUUGGUGGGGUAGUGGCCCACCAAGGCGACGACGGGUAGCCGGCCUGGGAGGGCGACCGGCCACACUGGGACUGAGACACGGCCCAGACUCCUACGGGAGGCAGCAGUGGAGAAUAUUGCGCAAUGGGCGAAAGCCUGACGCAGCGACGCCGCGUGAGGGACGAAGGCCUUCGGGUUGUAAACCUCUUUCAGCAGGGACGAAGCGAAAGUGACGGUACCUGCAGAAGAAGCACCGGCCAACUACGUG